GAUGAAGAACGCAGCGAAUUGCGAUAAGUAAUGUGAAUUGCAGAUUUUCAGUGAAUCAUCGAAUCUUUGAACGCACCUUGCGCCCUCUGGUAUUCCGGAGGGCAUGCCUGUUCGAGCGUCAUUAUCACCCCUCAAGCCCGGCUUGUUGUUGGAUGCAGCGCUUAUCCCGCUCCUCCCAAAGAUAAUGACGGCGUCUGCGACGACUCCUGUACACUGAGCUUUCGGGCACGUACACGGCUAGAAGUCCAGACCCGGUCGCCGUCCCCCCCGCGGGGACACCCAUUGCCACAAGGUUGACCUCGGAUCAGGUAGGAAUACCCGCUGAACUUAAGCAUAUCAAUAAGCGGAGGA
RNAcentral lists this unclassified non-coding RNA (351 nucleotides) under soil metagenome. Its description in RNAcentral is "partial contains 5.8S ribosomal RNA, internal transcribed spacer 2, and large subunit ribosomal RNA". The stretch from base 1 to 121 matches the Rfam family "5.8S ribosomal RNA", at positions 35 to 154 of the family's 154-position model. The record is from RNAcentral.